RNAcentral lists this ribosomal RNA (253 nucleotides) under uncultured bacterium. RNAcentral's name for it is "partial 16S ribosomal RNA". It matches the Rfam family "Bacterial small subunit ribosomal RNA", at positions 524 to 776 of the family's 1533-position model. The record is from RNAcentral.
UACGUAGGGGGCAAGCGUUGUCCGGAUUUAUUGGGCGUAAAGAGCGUGUAGGCGGCCAGGUAGGUCCGCUGUGAAAACUCGAGGCUCAACCUCGAGACGCCGAUGGAAACCAUCUGGCUAGAGUCCGGAAGAGGAGAGUGGAAUUCCUGGUGUAGCGGUGAAAUGCGCAGAUAUCAGGAAGAACACCCGUGGCUAAGGCGGCUCUCUAGUACGGUACUGACGCUGAGACGCGAAAGCGUGGGGAGCGAACAGG